Molecule: non-coding RNA, 401 nt
Organism: Cajanus cajan (pigeon pea)
Lineage: Eukaryota; Viridiplantae; Streptophyta; Magnoliopsida; Fabales; Fabaceae
Source: RefSeq, a predicted model, not a curated record
CUAAGAAAAUUUGGCUUGGAAGUUUGAAUAAUACCAUAUCAUAUAUGUACGACAAUCCAGAUCAUAUAUUGAGCCUCUAAAGUUGAAAUUUGAUAAUCUUGCUGUCAUUGGAAGGCUAAGAUAAAGAUCUACAAAAGUGUCACUCACAAGCCAAAGCUAGUUCUAACGGUUUAAGGCCCCAAAAUGCAUUUCAAGUUUCUACCUCUACACUUGAGUGGGAAUUCUCAUUAAGAGUAAAACUUAGAAGUUUAAACAUAUGUAAUUAGUGGGUUGGGUUUGUAAUUAACUGGAUUUAGGUUCAAUAACUUCAAUGUCUAUAAAUAAGUGUUAAUAGCUUGAGUUGUAGACAUAAUCCUCAUUUUUUAGAUUUUACACUUGUUUCUCGUGUAAGUUUCUCUCAA